UUUUGCAUGGAGUGAACUACGAAUCUUUACCAAGCUAGCUGUGUUGAGAACCAACAUCAACGAAUGACAGUUCCGUGCAAGACGGUUAUGUGAACCGUAUGGUGAAUGAAAAUUGAAUAUUGGAAUUGUGUAUACGUCUAUAGCUACAAAAUCACCAAUGUCUUGGUGUGCACUGGAUGUUUGACUGCAGUACCAACCUAGAGAGCUUUUGCCGUAGCCUGCGCUAAUGGCUCUGUCCGUGGGAGAUACUGGGAUCGACAUGGUGACUAAUGGUAAUUUUUUGAAUAAUAAUGUUUUAGUUAAAGAUAUGAGUCUGAAAGCACAUCCCUGAAGAUCAUUGGGGGACAGUGACUGGCGCUCCUAUCAUCCAUUGUGAGGAUCAGAAUGUCUCGAACCGCCGUGACUCUACUGUCCGGAGUAUGGCUGUGGCUGGGUUUGUUUCCCGCUUGCGCGACUUGGAAAGUCUGUGACAAUGGCAAGUUGUUUCUGGAGAGAGACCUGCCAUCCUCAGCUGUGUGGGAAUGUCCUGUGAUCGCCUGGCCAGAGUUCAGCACCCAGAAGCUGCCCAGGAUUGAAAUGACAUAUUCUGCCCAGCUGGCCGACCACGUCUGCAUGGACACACCGAUCACCUACAAUCAGACUGUUCCUAACAGCGGGGCUUCCCGGCCAGUGGCAGCAGAGAGUGGAGAGUACCUGUACUGUCCCCCUCAACGCUGGAUCAACAACCUGCAGCAUGGAGCAACCGUGUUUCUGUACCACCCCUGUACACCUGUCUAUCUUCGGAACCGUCUGUCAGUCCUGGCCCGCUCCUGUCUGUCUGACUUCGUCCUAACGCCGCACCCUGACCUUAGCAUUCUCAGACCGGUGGUGCUGGUGUCGUGGGGCCGCGGGCUGCAGCUGUCCCAGGUGACCCCGCCGGAGGUCUGCGAUUGGCUGCAGUCGACAGUCUCAAGCAGGAACCAUGGCAAGGCGAGUCAGAGCAGGAAGUAUAACUUGCUGUUGACCCGUCCUGCCGAUCACAGCCGUGUGGAUCCAGAACAAAAGCGGUCUCUGAAGCAGUGCUGUGAGGAGACCCUCUCCCUGCUCCUGGAUGCGGGUGGGUUGGAGGAGGGCUGUGCAGGAGGGAGGGUUCGCCACAGACGGACUGCAGACCAGAAGCGAGGCGCCUCAAUAAAACCUGAAACUCAGGGCCCUGCCCGAGGCGCACGGGGAGACAAGGAGAGGGCAGUCAAACAGAAUCAGCCUCUCAGCGGAGAAAACAACACUAAUGAAAAAGUACAGCGAGGCAAAUUGGAACCGACAGGCUCUGCGAAACAGAACCAAGCCGACGACAAGAGGCCACGUGGGACAACUGGUGACGCCCUGGGGAGGGAUGUGGAGGACAGCCGACCUGACGGAGGGCGCCAGCACAGUAAACCUCCAACCGAGAGGAGAAAGCCCUCGCCUCAGACCGCACCCGAGCUGCCGGCUGUCGUCCAGGCUGGCAGAGCUGACUGUGAUGGCACGGAGUGCACUGAGGGCGGCGCUGUGCCCGUGGGCGCGGGGACCAGCGGGAGGACAACGGCCACCCGGCGGACAGACGAGGCGGUGUGGGCGGCGGCGGCCGUGGGCUUCCUCCUGGUGCUCCUGGUGCUGUCCGUUCUGCACACGCGUCUCUACCGGCAGUGGCGCACGAUGCCCAGCAUGUACUGGCACGACCCAGGACAGGACUAUGACCUGGUGGCAGAUGUCCGCAAGAGGCUGAAGAUGCCAGGGAGGAGGAAGAGGAGGGUGUCUCAGAGUCGGAGACACGAGUGUGUUCUUCCUCCCAGCUCCAGCACAGACGAGGACGAGUAGAAACGCUAAAUCCUCUCAUCCCUCCCCGUCCAUCAUCCUGGCUUAGUCAUGUUCUAGAGACGAGGAAAAUGGGAACCAUAAAUUCUGCUCUGCAUCAGAGAACUCUGGAGAACGUCAGGCCAUCUGUCCGUGGGCUGAAGUGCACCUGGGUCACGAAAGUCUACAUCAAAAUGACUUACAGUAGAAGCAACAUCAUUUAUGUUUGUGCGAUGGUCAAAAUGUCUGGACCCAAACCCAAUUGUGGUGUUAUGGCAGGACCUGAAACGAGCAAUUAAUGCUCAAAGUUGCUCAGUGUGCCAAAACCCUGCCUAUAUUCCUGUCUAUUUCAAUAAAGAACACGUGCCUGAUAGAAGCAUAUUUCAAUAACUGUUACUAAAGAAAUAUGUAUGAACAUUGCUUAGAUACCUUUUAUUACAUUUUAGAUAUUAGCUGGAAAUCUGAUAACAUUCAGGAGUAAAAAUAACACCUGACUUUGGGUGAAUACAUUAUACAGCACAGUAAUAAAAUAGUUUAUUUUAAGAAUUAUCAAUAAAAUAAAAUGGAGACAUUGCAGGGUCAUAUGUUGAUUGUUGCUUGCACUAUGAAUUGUAAGCACAUAGUUCAACCACAAAACACAGACAUUUGUUCCCUGUGGAACAGAAGGUGUACACCCUUAUAUGAGAACAGAAAUGGAAUGCUGUGCUGGUAAAAGCAUUGUAUGCCAGCAGAAAUACCCUGAGCAGGCUUAAAAAAAAAUCUAAAACACAGAUUUUUUGACAGAGAUAGGGUUAUAUUUCUGAUUAUAUCUGCUUUUGAGUAUUUUGUUAUUUGUACAUGACUUGCCCCCUGAUCUGCAAUUUGAUGUAUUUUGUAAAAAUAUACUUGCCGGCUAUAUUUUGUAUUUUCAGUCAAAAGUAUUUUUCACUUCCUUUACAAUAGUCCUAACAGAAAUGUGUUGCAGUUUUAGAAUAAUACCCAGCAUACAUUUGUCUAAGAUGUGUUGAAGUGUUUAACGCCAUACCAAAUUGCAUUAUGGUAAUUGGUGUUCAUAGAGACACACAGAACUCUGUAAAGUUUACAACACUUAUGUAUGAUAAUAGGACAUUAGGGUUAGGGACUGAAUUUCACAAAUUAUCCCAAAGAAACACAAGCACACCACUGAUGAGGUUGCAAUGGUGUAAAGCUUAAUCCAUCCUACAUCAAUCAGUGUUUGGCGGUCCAAUAGAGACUACUAAACAUUCUUUGGCUCUGUCAAAUAAUAGGUGCCCAACACAAUAUGGGAAUUCAGGGUGGCUUCAGGCUUCCAGGUGGCAUUCAUUAAAAUAUUAAUUAAAGACAUUAAAGAAAUGUGUCUGGGUCUUUCAACUUAAAGUAGGCUAUGUCUGAAGUACCCUAUAGAGAGAAUGUUUUCAUGCUGGAGUUUGUGACGCCAAGUAAGCUAUUACUACAUAAUGAGCUUUGAUUAAAACUUAGAGUUAGGACAUGAAAGCAGCGCUAACAACCUGUGAAACCAUUCACACUUAAGAGGACAA
Esox lucius (northern pike) is the source of this 3347-nucleotide RNA transcript. It is a transcript of the gene named tumor protein p53 inducible protein 13, with no coding region annotated. The record is from RefSeq and is a predicted model, not a curated record. Lineage: Eukaryota; Metazoa; Chordata; Actinopteri; Esociformes; Esocidae. The transcript is spliced from 10 exons.